UAAUGACUCUCGGCAACGGAUAUCUAGGCUCUUGCAUCGAUGAAGAACGUAGCGAAAUGCGAUACUUGGUGUGAAUUGCAGAAUCCCGUGAACCAUCGAGUCUUUGAACGCAAGUUGCGCCCGAAGCCAUUAGGUUGAGGGCACGUCUGCCUGGGCGUCACAU
Molecule: ribosomal RNA, 163 nt
Filed under: Caragana jubata
Lineage: Eukaryota; Viridiplantae; Streptophyta; Magnoliopsida; Fabales; Fabaceae
Also listed under: 13 other names
Description: 5.8S ribosomal RNA
Rfam family: 5.8S ribosomal RNA
About the family: 5.8S ribosomal RNA (5.8S rRNA) is a component of the large subunit of the eukaryotic ribosome. It is transcribed by RNA polymerase I as part of the 45S precursor that also contains 18S and 28S rRNA.
Source: RNAcentral